Molecule: ribosomal RNA, 424 nt
Filed under: uncultured prokaryote
Also listed under: 1 other name
Description: bacterial SSU rRNA
Rfam family: Bacterial small subunit ribosomal RNA
Source: RNAcentral
UGAGGAAUAUUGGUCAAUGGACGGAAGUCUGAACCAGCCAAGUAGCGUGCAGGAUGACGGCCCUAUGGGUUGUAAACUGCUUUUGUAUGGGAAUAAAGUGCGGGACGUGUCCCGUUUUGUAUGUACCAUAAGAAUAAGGACCGGCUAAUUCCGUGCCAGCAGCCGCGGUAAUACGGAAGGUCCGGGCGUUAUCCGGAUUUAUUGGGUUUAAAGGGAGCGCAGGCUGGAGAUUAAGCGUGACGUGAAAUGCCGCGGCUCAACCGUGGAAGUGCGUCGCGAACUGGUUUCCUUGAGUGUAUUCGACGUCAGCGGAAUUCGUGGUGUAGCGGUGAAAUGCUUAGAUAUCACGAAGAACUCCGAUUGCGAAGGCAGCUGGCGAGGCUAUAACUGACGCUAAAGCUCGAAGGUGCGGGUAUCGAACAGG